This 232-nucleotide ribosomal RNA is filed under the name uncultured bacterium. RNAcentral describes it as "partial 16S ribosomal RNA". It matches the Rfam family "Bacterial small subunit ribosomal RNA", at positions 99 to 334 of the family's 1533-position model. The record is from RNAcentral.
CGGACGGGUGAGUAAUGUCUGGGAAACUGCCCGAUGGAGGGGGGUAACUACUGGAAACGGUAGCUAAUACCGCAUAACGUCACAAGACCAAAGAGGGGGACCUUCGGGCCUCUUGCCAUCGGAUGUGCCCAGAUGGGAUUAGCUAGUAGGUGGGGUAACGGCUCACCUAGGCGACGAUCCCUAGCUGGUCUGAGAGGAUGACCAGCCACACUGGAACUGAGACACGGUCCAG